CAGUUGGAACAGAAUAUACUAAUAAUUUCUUAACACCUGCCUUGGUCUAUUUGGUUUUUUGCACAUGUGGAUGGAACUGACCCUGAGAUGUUACGUCAAGUUGGGAAAUUUGUAUCAUUUUCCAGUAGGUCUGAGGGAUGUGUGUUUCUGUUCAAAUGUAAUAAGUUCUAUUGACCUGUUUGCUGGUCAUUAUCUUGCCCACGUGUGGACUUUCUUGGAACACAGAUCAUUGGCUGAUCCCAACUAGGGGAGGGAUUCUGUGGUCCUUAAAAGCUGCUCCUCUGCUCACUUGCCUACAAAGCAAUCUUGGUUUAUCCCAGAGAGAGAACGGACAAGACAGAUUUAUUUAUUUUUUUAAAAAAAUCUAAGAACACAGCCUUACUCAAGAAAGAAAGAUGAAACUUCAAAUGAUCUGCAUGCUCUUCAUUUUACUUAGUGCUACUACCAGAAACCUCUGUGCAUUCACCAUUCAGAGAGAUGCCCAGAAAGACUUGGCCAGUUUGGACCCUUACAAGACAGAAAGCAUGGGACUGCAGGCAUUGCUAGGAAGACCCAAGCGUCACGUCAGUCACAUUGCUCUCUGCAGAUAUUGCUGGGACUGUUGUGGAAACAAAGGUUUUGGUUACUGCUGUCGGACAUGAAAAGGACAAAGUCCAUGAUAGAUGACAACUCUGCUAUGGAGAUGUCCUUCUCCUUGUAGACAUGACCACCUUCAAAAAAACCUCCUCCCAUUGGUCUCUGGGUCUCCUGACACAUUCUCCUUAUUUAUUAGUUUGACAAUAUUUGGUGUUUUUGUUUUGCUUGAUGUUCUUGUCAGUUCUUGAGAAUUAAACGUAUUUUUAUCUCAUAUGCGCUGUUACCGAUUUGUGAUUCUCUACCUCUGGAUUAUAUUUUCCUGCCUUAAGA
This 906-nucleotide long non-coding RNA is filed under the name Notechis scutatus (mainland tiger snake). RNAcentral describes it as "lncRNA (ENSNSUG00000019680.1)". The record is from RNAcentral. Lineage: Eukaryota; Metazoa; Chordata; Lepidosauria; Squamata; Elapidae.